RNAcentral lists this unclassified non-coding RNA (240 nucleotides) under soil metagenome. RNAcentral's name for it is "partial contains 5.8S ribosomal RNA, internal transcribed spacer 2, and large subunit ribosomal RNA". The record is from RNAcentral.
AACGCACGAGACCUGCGGACCUGCGGAAGGAUCAUUAUUGAAAUCCUUCCAAGGAUGUUGCUGGUCCUUAGGGACAUGUGCACUCCGCCUUUCUAUACACCUGUGAACUUAUUGUAGGUGCAGAUGUAACAAGUCUGUUACCUAUGUUUUUUAACACACCCUUUUAAAAUGUAUAAUGGAAUGUUGAUGGAUAAUAAUAACAAUACAACUUUCAACAAUGGAUCUCUAGAUCGGAAGAGC